This 862-nucleotide unclassified non-coding RNA is filed under the name Hevea brasiliensis (rubber tree). The record is from RNAcentral. Lineage: Eukaryota; Viridiplantae; Streptophyta; Magnoliopsida; Malpighiales; Euphorbiaceae.
GAUCCUUUUAUGUUCAAAAAUAUAUUAAUUAGUAUAUAUAUUUUUAUUCUGUUUACUCUUUAAUCCUAUGAUCAUUUUAGGUAUUAGUUUAAAUUUUAUUUAGUUUUUAUAAUUUGAUAAACACAAUUAUAUAAUCUUUAUAUUUUAUAACUUUUGAAUUAUUUAGUCUUGAAAGAGUAAUUACUCUCUCAUUUGAAUAUAUUGACUAAUAAAAAACUUGAUUUAAAUUGGAUGGAGGAAUUAAAGAGUAAACGGGACAAAAAUUUAUGACUGAUUAAUGUAUAUUUUAAAAUAAGAGGAUCAAGUAAUUAAUUUCAUUAAAAUAAAGGGACUAAAUAAUAAUUUUUCCUUUUUUAUUCUUCUUGGAUGGAGACUAUCAGGUUUAGAUUCUCAGCUUCUGCAUAUUUGAUAGGAAUUUCAUCAUAUGCUUUCCUGCAGAAACUUAUCUGCUUUUACUUUUGAUUUCUGGGUUAUCCAACAAAGUGCCUGAAUCCAAUUAAAUUUCUGUUUGGAAUAGGUAUUGGCAAUGUUGUUGACUUCAAGCAUUUCAGCGGCCUUGGCGAUUGCUCAAGUGGGGAAGAAAGGGAAUUCUCAUGCAGGUUGGUUACCAAUCUGUGGGCAAGUUUCCAAGUACUGUAACCAAGUGACGGGAGCAUUAGCUGCUGGAUUCGUUGGAAUCAUAACCUAUGCAAUUCUCCUUCUUUAUGCUGUUCACACUGUCCUUAAUCCUCUUCUUGUUCAAAAAACCUAGACAAUUAAGCUCGUCAAUAAGCUCUCUCCAGGCUUCUUAUGAUCUUGGAUUACUACUACUAAUGUCAUUUUUUUGUGUUAAUAAAAUCUGUUCUACACUCUCUGGCUGUCU